AGCUCCAAUAGCGUAUAUUAAAGUUGCUGCAGUUAAAAAGCUCGUAGUUGCAUUUCCGAGGCAAGGGAUUAGUCCGACCUUUGGUGGGUAUUUAAUCCUCUUGCCUCGUCCUUGAGUGGUGCUUCUUGGUAUUAAGUUAUCGAGGAGAUAGCCGCUCAUCGUUUACUGUGAGAAAAUUAGAGUGUUCAAAGCAGGCUUAUGCCGUUGAAUAUAUUAGCAUGGAAUAAUAAGAUAGGACCUCGGUACUAUUUUGUUGGUUUGAGAACCAAGGUAAUGAUGAAUAGGGACAGUUGGGGGUAUUCGUAUUCAGUUGUCAGAGGUGAAAUUCUUAGAUUUACGGAAGACGAACUACUGCGAAAGCAUUUACCAAGGAUGUUGGCA
This 381-nucleotide ribosomal RNA is filed under the name uncultured marine Chaetocerotaceae. RNAcentral describes it as "SSU rRNA". It matches the Rfam family "Eukaryotic small subunit ribosomal RNA", at positions 587 to 972 of the family's 1831-position model. Lineage: Eukaryota; Bacillariophyta; Thalassiosirophyceae; Chaetocerotales; Chaetocerotaceae. The record is from RNAcentral.